Molecule: long non-coding RNA, 1232 nt
Organism: Gymnogyps californianus (California condor)
Lineage: Eukaryota; Metazoa; Chordata; Aves; Accipitriformes; Cathartidae
Exons: 4
Source: RefSeq, a predicted model, not a curated record
GCAAUUUCCUGUAGAAGCUGUAGUGUGGUCUUCCCGGCAGAGUCCUUGUGAGAGACUUCGCAAGCCUAGCAUCAAUGGAUUUAUACUUGUUGAAGAGUUGGCCUGUGUGCAAGUGUCUGCUGUACAAGUUAUUGCAGUAUUGGAGUACCUCAUCAGGACUGAGUUUCCUAUUCUUCCAGCCUUUUAGUGCAUCAACAGAGGUGUGGAGGAAAGAUACAGAAAACCUGGAUUGAUCACAGCUGCCCUAAUGACAGAGGAAGCUGCUAAGAAGAACAAUUGGGCAGUAGGGGAAAAGUGUCGUUCCCCGAGUAGAAAACUCGAUUCUGGAAGAACGCCUUUUACUCCAGGGAGCGCAGUUGUCUUCAGUGGAGGCGUACCUUGUUGGAGUUGUUCUAGACAAGCUCAACACCAGAAUUCACUCAACUGGACCUGACUCCCCUCCUGUCUUGUGUCAGCUGAUGUAAAAUCAGGAACAUCUCUACUGAAGGCAAGUCAGUUAUGCUGUGUAGAAGAGGUGAAGCUCAAUUAAGACUGUCUUCUUGAGAAUGAAUAAUGGUUUCGCAAGAGCUGUCCUUCAUCUACAAUGGACUUCAUGGCUAAAGCAAGGAACAGUUCUCUUUCAAAUCACAGCUGCAUCAGAAAUUUGUUUUACAGUGUAAGAACUAUGAAAGACAUAAAUUCAGUUCUCUGUCUUGCUGAUACUGCCAGGCUGUCCCAGAUUGCUCAAGACAUAUAAAAUGAAUAAAAGGCAUUUGGGGGGUUAUGAAGCUAUAUUAGUCAUUGCGUCAUAGGAACCUCUUCAUUGUGUGCAGUACAAGGCUUGGGUGCAGGUUCUUUUGAUGUGCUAAAUACCUUCUGCCUUUGUCCUUAUACACCUUUCCAAAUUCUGCUGCUUUACUUCCUUUCUCCCCAACUAUCUGGUUUUUUUGUGCUGGCUUUGUAUUGCAUGUGCUUGGAGCAGAUUUGAGCAUUCCAGUGAAGCUGAUUGUUUCACUUCUGUGAACUUAUUUCUGUUCUAUUAUAUUAGUAUCCUGUUUUUGCUGAGCAAAGCAGCACAGCAGGUCCAGCAGCUGCCAGUGGUACAGAACAUGCCAGACCAAACCAAGAGCAGCUGUUUCUCUUUUUCCUAGGUUUGAUGUGGGUUCAGUGUCAAUUUUUUAUGUCUUUCCUGAUAUUUUUUUCUUCCUAACCAAGAAAAUCUUUGAGAGAUAAUAAAUGAGACUUGAAAGUGA